This 290-nucleotide unclassified non-coding RNA is filed under the name Hevea brasiliensis (rubber tree). Lineage: Eukaryota; Viridiplantae; Streptophyta; Magnoliopsida; Malpighiales; Euphorbiaceae. The record is from RNAcentral.
GUGGACUAGUGCAAGAUUGCUCAAUGGGUUCUGAUAGGUUAUUAGACACCCUCAGAAUGGAGAGGGUGAGGACGAUUUUUACACAUACAUAUCCUUAUCCGCAUGAGCAUUCACGUCAUGCUAUCAUUGCCGUGGUUGUGGGUUGCCUCUUUUUCAUCUCUUCAGAUAACAUGCAUACUCUCGUGGAAAAGUUGGACAAGAAUGUUAAGUGGUGGUCUAUGUAUGCCUGCCUACUUGGUUUCUUCUAUUUCUUUUCUUCACCAUUUUUAGGGAAGACUAUCAAACCCAGC